UACGGAGGGUGCUAGCGUUGUUCGGAAUUACUGGGCGUAAAGCGUACGUAGGCGGCUUUGUAAGUUAGAGGUGAAAGCCCGGGGCUCAACCCCGGAAUUGCCUUUAAGACUGCAUCGCUUGAAUCCAGGAGAGGUGAGUGGAAUUCCGAGUGUAGAGGUGAAAUUCGUAGAUAUUCGGAAGAACACCAGUGGCGAAGGCGGCUCACUGGACUGGUAUUGACGCUGAGGUACGAAAGCGUGGGGAGCAAACAGG
RNAcentral lists this ribosomal RNA (253 nucleotides) under uncultured bacterium. RNAcentral describes it as "partial 16S ribosomal RNA". It matches the Rfam family "Bacterial small subunit ribosomal RNA", at positions 524 to 776 of the family's 1533-position model. The record is from RNAcentral.